GAUGAACGCUGGCGGCGUGCUUAACACAUGCCAGUCGAGCGAGAAGUUUUGAAAAGAUUCUUCGGAUGAAAUUUAAAAUGGAAAGCGGCGGACGGGUGAGUAACGCGUAGGCAACCUGCCCCAUACAAAGGGAUAGCAUUUGGAAACGAAUAUUAAUACCUUAUGAAACUUAACUAGUGCAUGCUAGGUAGGUCAAAGAUUUAUCGGUAUGGGAUGGGCCUGCGUCUGAUUAGCUAGUUGGUGAGGUAACGGCUCACCAAGGCGACGAUCAGUAGCCGACCUGAGAGGGUGAACGGCCACAUUGGAACUGAGACACGGUCCAAACUCCUACGGGAGGCAGCAGUGGGGAAUAUUGCACAACGGGGGAAACCCUGAUGCAGCAACGCCGCGUGAACGAUGAAGGCCUUUGGGCCGUAAAGUUCUGUUCUAGGUGAUGAAAACUGACAGUAACCUAGGAGAAAGCCCCGGCUAACUCCGUG
This 479-nucleotide ribosomal RNA is filed under the name uncultured bacterium. RNAcentral's name for it is "partial 16S ribosomal RNA". It matches the Rfam family "Bacterial small subunit ribosomal RNA", at positions 28 to 507 of the family's 1533-position model. The record is from RNAcentral.